This 253-nucleotide ribosomal RNA is filed under the name uncultured bacterium. RNAcentral describes it as "partial 16S ribosomal RNA". It matches the Rfam family "Bacterial small subunit ribosomal RNA", at positions 524 to 776 of the family's 1533-position model. The record is from RNAcentral.
UACGUAGGGUGCGAGCGUUAAUCGGAAUUACUGGGCGUAAAGCGUGCGCAGGCGGUUCGUUGUGUCUGACGUGAAAGCCCCGGGCUCAACCUGGGAAUGGCAUUGGAAACUGGCGAGCUAGAGUGUGGCAGAGGGGGGUGGAAUUCCGCGUGUAGCAGUGAAAUGCGUAGAGAUGCGGAGGAACACCGAUGGCGAAGGCAGCCCCCUGGGCUGACACUGACGCUCAGGCACGAAAGCGUGGGGAGCAAACAGG